CUACGGAGGCUCCAAGCGUUAUCCGGAAUCAUUGGGUUUAAAGGGUCCGUAGGCGGGUUUGUAAGUCAGUGGUGAAAGUUUUCGGCUCAACCGGAAAAUUGCCAUUGAUACUGCAAGUCUUGAAUUAUUGUGAAGUGAUUAGAAUGUGUAGUGUAGCGGUGAAAUGCAUAGAUAUUACACAGAAUACCGAUUGCGAAGGCAGAUCACUAACAAUAUAUUGACGCUAAGGGACGAAAGCGUGGGUAGCGAACAGGAUUAGAAACCCCAGUAGUCCC
Molecule: ribosomal RNA, 275 nt
Filed under: uncultured bacterium
Lineage: Bacteria
Description: partial 16S ribosomal RNA
Rfam family: Bacterial small subunit ribosomal RNA
Source: RNAcentral